UACGUAGGGUGCGAGCGUUGUCCGGAAUUAUUGGGCGUAAAGAGCUCGUAGGCGGUGUGUCGCGUCGGCCGUGAAAACCUGGGGCUUAACUCUGGGCGUGCGGUCGAUACGGGCAUCACUAGAGUUCGGCAGGGGAGACUGGAAUUCCUGGUGUAGCGGUGAAAUGCGCAGAUAUCAGGAGGAACACCGGUGGCGAAGGCGGUUCUCUGGGCAUUACCUGACGCUGAGGAGCGAAAGUGUGGGGAGCGAACAGG
This 254-nucleotide ribosomal RNA is filed under the name uncultured bacterium. RNAcentral's name for it is "partial 16S ribosomal RNA". It matches the Rfam family "Bacterial small subunit ribosomal RNA", at positions 524 to 776 of the family's 1533-position model. The record is from RNAcentral.